GAAUGCUGACAUAAGUAACGAUAAAGCGGGUGAAAAGCCCGCUCGCCGGAAGACCAAGGGUUCCUGUCCAACGUUAAUCGGGGCAGGGUGAGUCGACCCCUAAGGCGAGGCCGAAAGGCGUAGUCGAUGGGAAACGGGUUAAUAUUCCCGUACUUGGUGUUACUGCGAAGGGGGGACGGAGAAGGCUAUGUUGGCCGGGCGACGGUUGUCCCGGUUUAAGCGUGUAGGUGUGUGUUCCAGGUAAAUCCGGUCCACUUUAACACUGAGGCGUGAUGACGAGGCACUACGGUGCUGAAGCAACAAAUGCCCUGCUUCCAGGAAAAGCCUCUAAGCAUCAGGUAACAUCAAAUCGUACCCCAAACCGACACAGGUGGUCA
RNAcentral lists this ribosomal RNA (377 nucleotides) under Salmonella enterica subsp. enterica serovar Bareilly. Its description in RNAcentral is "partial 23S ribosomal RNA". It matches the Rfam family "Bacterial large subunit ribosomal RNA", at positions 1292 to 1669 of the family's 2925-position model. The record is from RNAcentral. Lineage: Bacteria; Pseudomonadati; Pseudomonadota; Gammaproteobacteria; Enterobacterales; Enterobacteriaceae.